AGAACGAACGCUGGCGGCAUGCCUAACACAUGCAAGUCGAACGAGACCUUCGGGUCUAGUGGCGCACGGGUGCGUAACGCGUGGGAAUCUACCCUUGGGUUCGGAAUAACAGUUGGAAACGACUGCUAAUACCGGAUGAUGACGAAAGUCCAAAGAUUUAUCGCCCAGGGAUGAGCCCGCGUAGGAUUAGCUAGUUGGUGAGGUAAAGGCUCACCAAGGCUACGAUCCUUAGCUGGUCUGAGAGGAUGAUCAGCCACACGUGGGACUGAGACACGG
RNAcentral lists this ribosomal RNA (276 nucleotides) under uncultured soil bacterium. RNAcentral describes it as "partial 16S ribosomal RNA". It matches the Rfam family "Bacterial small subunit ribosomal RNA", at positions 26 to 329 of the family's 1533-position model. The record is from RNAcentral.